Ochotona princeps (American pika) is the source of this 119-nucleotide ribosomal RNA. The record is from Ensembl. NCBI's taxonomy places the organism in Eukaryota, Metazoa, Chordata, Mammalia, Lagomorpha, Ochotonidae.
GUCUACAGCCAUGCCACCCAGAACACACCCAGUCUCCUCUGAUCUCAGAUGCUUUGCAGGGUAAGCCUGGUCAGGACUCAGAUCGGAGUGUAUUCACUGCUUACAAGGGAUUGCUAACU